UACGAAGGGGGCUAGCGUUGUUCGGAAUCACUGGGCGUAAAGCGCACAUAGGCGGGUCGUUAAGUCGGGGGUGAAAUGCCAAGGCUCAACCUUGGAACUGCCUUCGAUACUGGCGAUCUCGAGUCCGGGAGAGGUGAGUGGAACUCCGAGUGUAGAGGUGAAAUUCGUAGAUAUUCGGAAGAACACCAGUGGCGAAGGCGGCUCACUGGCCCGGUACUGACGCUGAGGUGCGAAAGCGUGGGGAGCAAACAGG
Molecule: ribosomal RNA, 253 nt
Filed under: uncultured bacterium
Lineage: Bacteria
Description: partial 16S ribosomal RNA
Rfam family: Bacterial small subunit ribosomal RNA
Source: RNAcentral